GGGGGAAUAUUGCGCAAUGGGCGAAAGCCUGACGCAGCGACGGCGCGUGAGGGAUGAAGGUUUUCGGAUCGUAAACCUCUGGCAGAAGGGAAGAAACCGCACUGUGCUAAUCAGCAGUGCCUUGACGGUACCUUCAAAGGAAGCACCGGCUAACUCCGUGCCAGCAGCCGCGGUAAUACGGAGGGUGCAAGCGUUAAUCGGAAUUACUGGGCGUAAAGCGCACGUAGGCUGCUUUGUAAGUCAGGGGUGAAAUCCCACGGCUCAACCGUGGAACUGCCUUUGAUACUGCUUAGCUUGAAUCCGGGAGAGGGUGGCGGAAUUCCAGGUGUAGGAGUGAAAUCCGUAGAUAUCUGGAGGAACAUCAGUGGCGAAGGCGGCCACCUGGACCGGUAUUGACGCUGAGGUGCGAAAGCGUGGGGAGCAAACAGG
This 429-nucleotide ribosomal RNA is filed under the name Fusobacteriota bacterium. Its description in RNAcentral is "Fusobacteria bacterium partial 16S ribosomal RNA". It matches the Rfam family "Bacterial small subunit ribosomal RNA", at positions 355 to 776 of the family's 1533-position model. Lineage: Bacteria; Fusobacteriati; Fusobacteriota. The record is from RNAcentral.